CCUACGGGUGGCUGCAGUGGGGAAUAUUGGACAAUGGGCGAAAGCCUGAUCCAGCCAUGCCGCGUGUGUGAAGAAGGCCUUCGGGUUGUAAAGCACUUUCAGUGGGGAAGAAAGCCUUGGGGCUAAUACCCUCGAGGAAGGACAUCACCCACAGAAGAAGCACCGGCUAACUCCGUGCCAGCAGCCGCGGUAAUACGGAGGGUGCGAGCGUUAAUCGGAAUUACUGGGCGUAAAGCGCGCGUAGGCGGUCUGAUAAGCCGGUUGUGAAAGCCCCGGGCUCAACCUGGGAACGGCAUACGGAACUGUCAGGCUAGAGUGCAGGAGAGGAAGGUAGAAUUCCCGGUGUAGCGGUGAAAUGCGUAGAGAUCGGGAGGAAUACCAGUGGCGAAGGCGGCCUUCUGGACUGACACUGACGCUGAGGUGCGAAAGCGUGGGUAGCAAACAGGAUUAGAUACCCCAGUAGUC
RNAcentral lists this ribosomal RNA (465 nucleotides) under Vreelandella stevensii. Its description in RNAcentral is "partial 16S ribosomal RNA". It matches the Rfam family "Bacterial small subunit ribosomal RNA", at positions 338 to 795 of the family's 1533-position model. The record is from RNAcentral. Lineage: Bacteria; Pseudomonadati; Pseudomonadota; Gammaproteobacteria; Oceanospirillales; Halomonadaceae.